This 201-nucleotide long non-coding RNA is filed under the name Physcomitrium patens. RNAcentral's name for it is "long non-coding RNA (PPAT_LNC002227)". The record is from RNAcentral. Lineage: Eukaryota; Viridiplantae; Streptophyta; Bryopsida; Funariales; Funariaceae.
ACUCUGCCAACUCCGUUUGCGAUAGAUUGUAGAUUGGGCCAAAAGGUGGUUGUGCUCCUUCUUGCAAGUCUAUGGCACAAUCAUAUGGUCGGUGUUCCGGUAGUAUGUCGGCGUUCUUCUUUUGAAACAUGUCUUCAAAAUCUUUAUAUUGCUCCGGUAUACUUGCUGUUGAGAUCUUCUCCUCGGUAGUUGGAGCCGCAU